Molecule: microRNA precursor, 166 nt
Filed under: Pelobates cultripes (western spadefoot toad)
Lineage: Eukaryota; Metazoa; Chordata; Amphibia; Anura; Pelobatidae
Source: RNAcentral
GUGAACCAAGUUAGCCAAUCAGCAGCAGACCCUCCCUCCCAGACCCUCCCACCUCCUGGACAGCUCACUAAGAAUGCAGCUUCACAAUGAAUGUAAAAUGGAUGCUGUCCAGGAGAUGGGAGGGUCUGGGAGGGAGGGUCUGCCGCUGAUUGGCUGGAAUGUGUCU